RNAcentral lists this ribosomal RNA (479 nucleotides) under uncultured bacterium. Its description in RNAcentral is "partial 16S ribosomal RNA". It matches the Rfam family "Bacterial small subunit ribosomal RNA", at positions 28 to 507 of the family's 1533-position model. The record is from RNAcentral.
GAUGAACGCUAGCGGGAGGCCUAACACAUGCAAGCCGAGCGGUAGAGUUUCUUCGGAAACUUGAGAGCGGCGCACGGGUGCGUAACACGUGUGCAACCUACCUUUAUCUGGGGGAUAGCCUUUCGAAAGGAAGAUUAAUACCCCAUAAUAUAAUGAUUGGCAUCAAUUAUUAUUGAAAACUCCGGUGGAUAGAGAUGGGCACGCGCAAGAUUAGAUAGUUGGUGAGGUAACGGCUCACCAAGUCAAUGAUCUUUAGGGGUCCUGAGAGGGAGAUCCCCCACACUGGUACUGAGACGCGGACCAGACUCCUACGGGAGGCAGCAGUGAGGAAUAUUGGACAAUGGGUGAGAGCCUGAUCCAGCCAUCCCGCGUGAAGGAUGACGGUCCUAUGGAUUGUAAACUUCUUUUGUACAGGGAUAAACCUACCCUCGUGAGGGUAGCUGAAGGUACUGUACGAAUAAGCACCGGCUAACUCCGUG